This 699-nucleotide ribosomal RNA is filed under the name uncultured bacterium. Its description in RNAcentral is "bacterial SSU rRNA". It matches the Rfam family "Bacterial small subunit ribosomal RNA", at positions 138 to 857 of the family's 1533-position model. The record is from RNAcentral.
CACGGAUAACAUACCGAAAGGUAUGCUAAUACGGGAUAAUAUAUUUGAGAGGCAUCUCUUAAAUAUCAAAGGUGAGCCAGUACAGGAUGGACCCGCGUCUGAUUAGCUAGUUGGUAAGGUAACGGCUUACCAAGGCAACGAUCAGUAGCCGACCUGAGAGGGUGAUCGGCCACAUUGGAACUGAGACACGGUCCAAACUCCUACGGGAGGCAGCAGUGGGGAAUAUUGCACAAUGGGCGAAAGCCUGAUGCAGCAACGCCGCGUGAGUGAUGAAGGCCUUCGGGUCGUAAAACUCUGUCCCCAAGGAAGAUAAUGACGGUACUUGAGGAGGAAGCCCCGGCUCACUACGUGCCAGCAGCCGCGGUAAUACGUAGGGGGCUAGCGUUAUCCGGAUUUACUGGGCGUAAAGGGUGCGUAGGCGGUCUUUCAAGUCAGGAGUGAAAGGCUACGGCUCAACCGUAGUAAGCUCUUGAAACUGGGAGACCUGAGUGCAGGAGAGGAGAGUGGAAUUCCUAGUGUAGCGGUGAAAUGCGUAGAUAUUAGGAGGAACACCAGUUGCGAAGGCGGCUCUCUGGACUGUAACUGACGCUGAGGCACGAAAGCGUGGGGAGCAAACAGGAUUAGAUACCCUGGUAGUCCACGCUGUAAACGAUGAGUACUAGGUGUCGGGGGUUACCCCCUUCGGUGCCGCAGCUAACG